CAAAUCUGCAAGCUUUUUCCUUGCUGGGAAAUUUCAUAGUCCGCAGCCUUUUUUUUUUUUUACCUGCAAAGCAAAGGAGGGAAGAAAAUGGCCGGGGCCUCCGUUUAUGAGUCGGUGUCUUUAGUCUUGGGGAGAGGAAGGAGGGCUUGAAACAAUGGCAGAAUGCAUCGCAGAGACAUUUGUUAUCCACCAAUGACAAGAUACUACACAAGUGCUUUAGAAUUUCUUACAAAUAAAACACGAGUAUAGCCAAGCAAUCAAUUCCUUCAGAAUCCUGCAAUGCUAUUCAUUUCAUCCAAAAAAUAAGCAAAAGACUGAUAUAUAUCAUAAACCAAUUUUGCAAUUUGCCAAUUUGCAAGCCUUUUGUCAGACCCCCAUAAGAGAGGAAACUGCUGCAAAAACACAGAACCAAAGUCUAGAUGUCAACCAGAGUUGAAUGUAUCUUUAUGUUUAUUUAUGCCUUCCUUCCUCUUCGUUUUUUUUAAACUGCAUGCUUAUUAAAAAAUAUGCUAAUGUUGCAUAC
This is a non-coding RNA of Pantherophis guttatus, 523 nucleotides long. The record is from RefSeq and is a predicted model, not a curated record. Lineage: Eukaryota; Metazoa; Chordata; Lepidosauria; Squamata; Colubridae.